AAUAAUAAAAGCAGCUUGGGAAAAUAUGAGCGAUUAGAUAAUUUCUUUAGAGAAUUUGAAUUGUCUUCUGGGUUGUAGUGGUGGGAGGGGUAUCCCGGAAUUGGAGAACUAACCAUCUUAGUCACCAGGAGAUUGUCUGUGAAGUUCUAUACAAGUACUGGGUUGUUUUAUCACUCAUCAUUGUUUUGCAUGUCCCUACUCCGCUACAAAAUGUAGGACAAACUGAUUUACCCAUGUUCGUCCGCCCGUCUGUCCAACGUGGUUUGUCUAGCUAACUCAUCCUUCAGUUUAACGCUAUAACUGUUAUAUCAUACACAAAUUACAACAGGCACGGACCCAGCUAUUUUAAAAAGGGGGUUCUAACCACUGUAAUACCAUGAAACGUUCACAGUUAUCGAAAAAA
This 403-nucleotide long non-coding RNA is filed under the name Mytilus galloprovincialis (Mediterranean mussel). Lineage: Eukaryota; Metazoa; Mollusca; Bivalvia; Mytilida; Mytilidae. The record is from RNAcentral.